This 330-nucleotide ribosomal RNA is filed under the name uncultured bacterium. Its description in RNAcentral is "bacterial SSU rRNA". It matches the Rfam family "Bacterial small subunit ribosomal RNA", at positions 568 to 898 of the family's 1533-position model. The record is from RNAcentral.
UUCGUAGGCAGUGCGGCAAGUCGGGAGUGAAAUCUCUGGGCUUAACUCAGAGGCUGCUUCCGAAACUGCUGUGCUUGAGUGUGGGAGAGGCGCGUGGAAUUGCAGGUGUAGCGGUGAAAUGCGUAGAUAUCUGCAGGAACACCCGUGGCGAAAGCGGCGCGCUGGACCACAACUGACGCUGAGGAACGAAAGCUAGGGGAGCAAACAGGAUUAGAUACCCUGGUAGUCCUAGCCCUAAACGAUCAGGACUUGGGGUGCCGCCCGUUCGGGCGUCGUCCCGGAGCUAACGCGUUAAGUCCUGCACCUGGGGAGUACGGUCGCAAGACUGAA